AAUCCAUAGGUUAAUGAGGCGAACCGGGGGAACUGAAACAUCUAAGUACCCCGAGGAAAAGAAAUCAACCGAGAUUCCCCCAGUAGCGGCGAGCGAACGGGGAGGAGCCCAGAGCCUGAAUCAGCAUGUGUGUUAGUGGAAGCGUCUGGAAAGGCGCGCGAUACAGGGUGACAGCCCCGUACACAAAAGCGCAUGUGCUGUGAGCUCGAUGAGUAGGGCGGGACACGUGGUAUCCUGUCUGAAUAUGGGGGGACCAUCCUCCAAGGCUAAAUACUCCUGACUGACCGAUAGUGAACCAGUACCGUGAGGGAAAGGCGAAAAGAACCCCGGCGAGGGGAGUGAAAAAGAACCUGAAACCGUGUACGUACAAGCAGUGGGAGCACCCUUCGGGGUGUGACUGCGUACCUU
This 408-nucleotide ribosomal RNA is filed under the name Salmonella enterica. Its description in RNAcentral is "partial 23S ribosomal RNA". It matches the Rfam family "Bacterial large subunit ribosomal RNA", at positions 161 to 607 of the family's 2925-position model. Lineage: Bacteria; Pseudomonadati; Pseudomonadota; Gammaproteobacteria; Enterobacterales; Enterobacteriaceae. RNAcentral also lists the same sequence under 1 other name. The record is from RNAcentral.